CGAAUUCGCCCUUAGAGUUUGAUCCUGGCUCAGAUUGAACGCUGGCGGCAUGCCUAACACAUGCAAGUCGAACGGAAACGAUGGAAGCUUGCUUCCAGGCGUCGAGUGGCGGACGGGUGAGUAAUACUUAGGAAUCUGCCCAGUAGUGGGGGACAACUCGAGGAAACUCGAGCUAAUACCGCAUACGCCCUACGGGGGAAAGCGGAGGACUCUUCGGAGCUUCGCGCUAUUGGAUGAGCCUAAGUCGGAUUAGCUUGUUGGUGAGGUAAAAGCUCACCAAGGCGACGAUCCGUAGCUGGUCUGAGAGGACGAUCAGCCACACUGGGACUGAGACACGGCCCAGACUCCUACGGGAGGCAGCAGUGGGGAAUAUUGGACAAUGGGGGAAACCCUGAUCCAGCAAUGCCGCGUGUGUGAAGAAGGCCUGCGGGUUGUAAAGCACUUUCAGUAGAGAAGAAAAGCUCAGGGAUAAUACCCCUGAGUCUUGACGUAACCUACAGAAGAAGCUCCGGCUAACUCCGUGCCAGCAGCCGCGGUAAUACGGGGGGAGCGAGCGUUAAUCGGAAUUACUGGGCGUAAAGCGCGCGUAGGCGGCUUUGUAAGUCGGAUGUGAAAGCCCUGGGCUCAACCCAGGAAUUGCAUUCGAUACUGCAUGGCUAGAGUAUGGUAGAGGGAAGUGGAAUUUCCGGUGUAGCGGUGAAAUGCGUAGAUAUC
This 714-nucleotide ribosomal RNA is filed under the name uncultured bacterium. Its description in RNAcentral is "bacterial SSU rRNA". It matches the Rfam family "Bacterial small subunit ribosomal RNA", at positions 1 to 698 of the family's 1533-position model. The record is from RNAcentral.